RNAcentral lists this ribosomal RNA (488 nucleotides) under uncultured bacterium. RNAcentral describes it as "bacterial SSU rRNA". It matches the Rfam family "Bacterial small subunit ribosomal RNA", at positions 955 to 1440 of the family's 1533-position model. The record is from RNAcentral.
AGAUACGCGCAGAACCUUACCAACACUUGACAUGUUCGUCGCGACUCUAAGAGAUUAGAGUUUUCGGUUCGGCCGGACGAAACACAGGUGCUGCAUGGCUGUCGUCAGCUCGUGUCGUGAGAUGUUGGGUUAAGUCCCGCAACGAGCGCAACCCUCACUUUUAGUUGCCAUCAUUAAGUUGGGCACUCUGAAAGAACUGCCAGUGAUAAGCUGGAGGAAGGUGGGGAUGACGUCAAGUCCUCAUGGCCCUUACGUGUUGGGCUACACACGUGCUACAAUGGCAUCUACAACAGGAAGCAAAACGGCAACGUUAAGCAAAUCCCGAAAAGAUGCCUCAGUUCGGAUUGCACUCUGCAACUCGAGUGCAUGAAGCUGGAAUUACUAGUAAUCGUGGAUCAGCGUGCCACGGUGAAUGCGUUCCCGGGUCUUGUACACACCGCCCGUCACACCAUNGGGAGUUGGUUCUACCNUAAGGCAAGGUUUNAANC